This is a long non-coding RNA of Drosophila sulfurigaster albostrigata, 737 nucleotides long. RefSeq lists it as uncharacterized. The record is from RefSeq and is a predicted model, not a curated record. Lineage: Eukaryota; Metazoa; Arthropoda; Insecta; Diptera; Drosophilidae. The transcript is spliced from 3 exons.
GCGACGGCGUCGACAGCAGCGACAGCGACAGCAGCUGCAAGCAACGGACAAAGGCAAAAGAAAACAAAGUAUUAGUGGAAGGCAAACACACAAUAGUAGAAACAAUGAAAAGUACAGCUCACGAAAGCAGCAACAAAAACAAUAGCAUACAAACAGUGCAAACACAACGGUUGGAGCCAGAGCGCUAAAGCGCAAGAGAGAGAGAGCGUAAGAGCGCGUGAGAGUAAUAACAGAAACUCACUCAGCAACAACAACUCAAGGCAAAAGAAAAGUAAACAGAACGAAAAGCCAGCACAACAUAAUUGAAGGAGAGGGACAAGCCAAAGAACGACAUAAUGAGAGAACAUGUGAGAGAGCAAGAGAGUGCUGGAUGGCGCUAAAAGUGUGCGUAUUGGAGAGUCCGCAAAGUUAAAUCUCUUCCUUAGCCAGCUUUUUCCACCUUCACACACCCACCACAUUUAUCUUGGCAUACCUCACCUCAAGUCCCACAUUCAAUCUACGUGUGCUACACGCAUUUUGAAUGAUAAUUUCAAAAUGAAAAAGUUGAAGUACGCAUAGAUGUAAUACAAGUUCUAUCACGAGAGCAGCCCACAUAUGUACAAGGCGGACUGUUGGCACUUCUAUCCACAACAGUUUUUAUGACAGGAAGAAAUCCAUCAACACGAUUCUUCUGGCCACAAUGGGCAGAGAUUUUCCAACCAAAAUGUAAGGAACCCAUAAAUUGCGACUAAUAAAUA